Molecule: long non-coding RNA, 1439 nt
Organism: Macrobrachium nipponense
Lineage: Eukaryota; Metazoa; Arthropoda; Malacostraca; Decapoda; Palaemonidae
Exons: 3
Source: RefSeq, a predicted model, not a curated record
GUGAUUUAGAAGAUAUCAAAUUUGAGUGCUUUGUGCCAGAAGUUUUAUUGCCUCCUUUAAUUGGAUUUGGGUAUAGGUAAACCUGUGAGUUCGUAAAAGUAAACAUGAGUCUUCAAAAGCUAGGAAGUGAGUGUGUGACGCAGUACAUAUCAAGAAUCUUGCACAUCAUUGACAUUAUUGAGUUAAGAGUUGGCUUACUCGUGAUGGCGAGCUUUAAUAGAGGUUCAUGUGGAGAAUGGCAAAUCAACCCUGAAUGACAUAGAAGAUAUUUAACAUCUAAGCUAGUAGGUCUGUGGUGGUACAGCAAGAAAACUGUCAGAUUUUGCAGAGUUAAACUGAUGGACAUCUAAUUGCAAAUCUUCAGGAACCUAAGUCUGUUCAAUUGACAAUACAUUUUUAACUAAAAAUAAUAAUGUAUUGUAGUAAAAUAAAAAUGCAAAGUCAGGAUUUAAAAAUUCAAAGUGGAAACUAACCUACCUCAGAUCAGAGCAGUAAAAGCCAGAGCAAAGUAAUACCCCGUUAUCAGACGAUAAUGAAGGGAUUACUCAUAUCUGUCGUCAGACAUGGAAUGUCCAAAGAAAUUGCUCGGAUUUAGUCCUUUCAAAAAUGGGGUGACCAAUAGCAUUUGCAAGUUGUGAAAAUUAUAGUUAUCUCACUCCUUUACUGACAAGAUAUGGGAAGCAAGAAAAGUGGUCACAGGGGACUUAACAUACAAACUGCUGAAUAAAGGACAAGCCUUAAGAAUAUCCACAUGAGAAGACAGAAUGAGUAAAGUACUUGUCAUACCAUUUCCUUACCAUGGGUUAAGGCAAGAGUUAAAGCAAGGAAUAAAGGAUGACAUGAAUUGGUCAUGCAUUUCCCUUCCAUGGGUUACAGAAAGGGUUAAAGCAAGGAAUAACUGAUACCGUGAAUUUAAUUCCUGUUGCACCUAUUACACAGACUUUUGUCUGAGAAGGAACCUUAAGUCUAAAACACCAAAGUUAGAUUAGGCAGAAGACAAUAGCGUCUGUUAAGGUCAGUAGUCAGCAUGCUAAAAUUAUGACUUAGGUUCACCAUAUAUUUUUUGCAGGGGAGUAUAAAUGAAUGCAACACUAUGCAAGGAAUUAAAUUUUCUUUGUCCUGAGAAAGUUGACUUAGCAAAGUACUUGAGGUUCAACAUUAAAGAGGAGGGUUCAGCAAGAUUUACAUAGAUGGUGUUGGAAAUUUCCAUCUAAGCAAAGGAGACACUAAGAAAGUAAGAAGAGAUAAAAAGUCGGAACAACUUUGAUGACUACAGGGACUCAUAAACCACACGAUUCAGAAAAGGGAACAGGGAACAGCCCAAGAGAAUAGCUCAUUUUUGUCCUGUAAGAAGGAUACAAGUUUAUCAAGAUCAGCAAUAGGCCUACGACUAGACGAAACAAGAGCUAUAUUCAUCAGAAACACUAAAUAAACAGUUG